This 254-nucleotide ribosomal RNA is filed under the name uncultured bacterium. RNAcentral's name for it is "partial 16S ribosomal RNA". It matches the Rfam family "Bacterial small subunit ribosomal RNA", at positions 524 to 776 of the family's 1533-position model. The record is from RNAcentral.
UACGUAGGGUGCGAGCGUUGUCCGGAAUUACUGGGCGUAAAGGGCUCGUAGGUGGUUUGUCGCGUCGUCUGUGAAUUUCCGGGGCUUAACUCCGGGCGUGCAGGCGAUACGGGCAUAACUUGAGUACUGUAGGGGUAACUGGAAUUCCUGGUGUAGCGGUGAAAUGCGCAGAUAUCAGGAGGAACACCGAUGGCGAAGGCAGGUUACUGGGCAGUUACUGACGCUGAGGAGCGAAAGCAUGGGUAGCGAACAGG